ACGGGAGGCAGCAGUGGGGAAUAUUGGGCAAUGGGCGCAAGCCUGACCCAGCAAUGCCGCGUGAAGGAAGAAGGCUUUCGGGUUGUAAACUUCUUUGACGAGGGACGAUAAUGACGGUACCUCGAAAACAAGCCACGGCUAACUACGUGCCAGCAGCCGCGGUAAUACGUAGGUGGCGAGCGUUGUCCGGAUUUACUGGGUGUAAAGGGCGCGUAGGCGGGAUUGCAAGUCAGAUGUGAAAUCCAUGGGCUCAACCCAUGAACUGCAUUUGAAACUGUAUUUCUUGAGUGCUGGAGAGGUAGACGGAAUUCCUUGUGUAGCGGUGAAAUGCGUAGAUAUAAGGAAGAACACCAGUGGCGAAGGCGGUCUACUGGACAGUAACUGACGCUGAGGCGCGAAAGCGUGGGGAGCAAACAGGAUUAGAUACCCUGGUA
The sequence is a ribosomal RNA, 434 nucleotides long. It matches the Rfam family "Bacterial small subunit ribosomal RNA", at positions 341 to 792 of the family's 1533-position model.